Non-coding RNA from Acanthosepion pharaonis, 101 nucleotides. Lineage: Eukaryota; Metazoa; Mollusca; Cephalopoda; Sepiida; Sepiidae. The record is from the annotation of a GenBank genome assembly.
ACAUUGAAACACUGGUUUCCGUACGAUCACUGAAGUUAAGCAACGUAGAACCUUGUCAGUACCUAUAUGGGUGACAGCUCGGGAAUACCAGAUGCUGUAAG